Molecule: ribosomal RNA, 468 nt
Filed under: uncultured bacterium
Lineage: Bacteria
Description: partial 16S ribosomal RNA
Rfam family: Bacterial small subunit ribosomal RNA
Source: RNAcentral
GACGAACGCUGGCGGCGUGCUUAACACAUGCAAGUCGAACGGAAAGGCCCUGCUUUUGUGGGGUGCUCGAGUGGCGAACGGGUGAGUAACACGUGAGUAACCUGCCCUUGACUUUGGGAUAACUUCAGGAAACUGGGGCUAAUACCGGAUAGGAGCUCCUGCUGCAUGGUGGGGGUUGGAAAGUUUCGGCGGUCGGGGAUGAACUCGCGGCUUAUCAGCUUGUUGGUGGGGUAGUGGCUUACCAAGGCUUUGACGGGUAGCCGGCCUGAGAGGGUGACCGGCCACAUUGGGACUGAGAUACGGCCCAGACUCCUACGGGAGGCAGCAGUGGGGAAUAUUGCACAAUGGGCGGAAGCCUGAUGCAGCAACGCCGCGUGCGGGAUGACGGCCUUCGGGUUGUAAACCGCUUUCGCCUGUGACGAAGCGUGAGUGACGGUAAUGGGUAAAGAAGCACCGGCUAACUACGUG